RNAcentral lists this ribosomal RNA (469 nucleotides) under uncultured bacterium. Its description in RNAcentral is "partial 16S ribosomal RNA". It matches the Rfam family "Bacterial small subunit ribosomal RNA", at positions 28 to 507 of the family's 1533-position model. The record is from RNAcentral.
GACGAACGCUGGCGGCGUGCUUAACACAUGCAAGUCGAACGGAAAGGCCCUGCUUGCAGGGUGCUCGAGUGGCGAACGGGUGAGUAACACGUGGGUGAUCUGCCCCUUACUUUGGGAUAAGCCUGGGAAACUGGGUCUAAUACUGGAUAGGACCAUGCUGUAGGUGGUGUGGUGGAAAGAUUAGUUUCGGUAAGGGAUGAGCUCGCGGCCUAUCAGCUUGUUGGUGGGGUAAUGUCCUACCAAGGCGUCGACGGGUAGCCGGCCUGAGAGGGUGGACGGCCACAUUGGGACUGAGAUACGGCCCAGACUCCUACGGGAGGCAGCAGUGGGGAAUAUUGCACAAUGGGCGCAAGCCUGAUGCAGCGACGCCGCGUGGGGGAUGACGGCCUUCGGGUUGUAAACUCCUUUCAGCCAUGACGAAGCCCUUGUGGUGACGGUAGUGGUAGAAGAAGCACCGGCUAACUACGUG